Molecule: ribosomal RNA, 460 nt
Filed under: uncultured bacterium
Lineage: Bacteria
Description: partial 16S ribosomal RNA
Rfam family: Bacterial small subunit ribosomal RNA
Source: RNAcentral
CCUACGGGGUGCUGCAGUGAGGAAUAUUGGUCAAUGGACGAGAGUCUGAACCAGCCAAGUAGCGUGAAGGAUGACUGCCCUAUGGGUUGUAAACUUCUUUUAUAAAGGAAUAAAACGAGGCACGUGUGCCUUUUUGCAUGUACUUUAUGAAUAAGGAUCGGCUAACUCCGUGCCAGCAGCCGCGGUAAUACGGAGGAUCCGAGCGUUAUCCGGAUUUAGUGGGUUUAAAGGGAGCGUAGAUGGGUUGUUAAGUCAGUUGUGAAAGUUUGCGGCUCAACCGUAAAAUUGCAAUUGAUACUGGCAGUCUUGAGUACAGUUGAGGUAGGCGGAAUUCGUGGUGUAGCGGUGAAAUGCUUAGAUAUCACGAAGAACCCCGAUUGCGAAGGCAGCUUACUAAACUGUGACUGACAUUGAUGCUCGAAAGUGUGGGUAUCAAACAGGAUUAGAUACCCGGGUAGUC